Molecule: ribosomal RNA, 497 nt
Filed under: uncultured bacterium
Lineage: Bacteria
Description: partial 16S ribosomal RNA
Rfam family: Bacterial small subunit ribosomal RNA
Source: RNAcentral
GAUGAACGCUGGCGGCGUGCCUAAUACAUGCAAGUCGAGCGAACAGACGAGGAGCUUGCUCCUCUGACGUUAGCGGCGGACGGGUGAGUAACACGUGGAUAACCUACCUAUAAGACUGGGAUAACUUCGGGAAACCGGAGCUAAUACCGGAUAACAUGUUGAACCGCAUGGUUUAACAGUGAAAGACGGUCUUGCUGUCACUUAUAGAUGGAUCCGCGCCGCAUUAGCUAGUUGGUAAGGUAACGGCUUACCAAGGCAACGAUGCGUAGCCGACCUGAGAGGAUGAUCGGCCACACUGGAACUGAGACACGGUCCAGACUCCUACGGGAGGCAGCAGUAGGGAAUCUUCCGCAAUGGGCGAAAGCCUGACGGAGCAACGCCGCGUGAGUGAAGAAGGUCUUCGGAUCGUAAAACUCUGUUAUUAGGGAAGAACAAAUGUGUAAGUAACUAUGCACGUCUUGACGGUACCUAAUCAGAAAGCCACGGCUAACUACGUG